GCCCGCGAUGCGGUCACAGGGCCCGCCGCCCUGUCAGACUUACAGCGGCGGAACAGCACUCGGUUGAGUUCAUAAUGGAGUUAGAUGUACACGGCGGCCCGUAGCCCCCCGGAACGUCGAUCAACCCGACCGCUGCCCUGUUUGGCUUGAACUUCACCUUCCCUCUACUGCGCGAUUUCCCCCGUGCGUGCCUUGGAAGUCCUCAAGAUCUCGCGAGAACUCUGCCCUCUAGCAGUGAGGCCUUGAAAGUUCCUGUAGGCCUCUUGGCUCUCCGCUGCUCACUAUGGCGUUGUUUGUUUCUUGUUGUGUUUUGGGGUUUGUUCUUCCGUCCUCUCCCGCGCUCCACCUUUUCCUGUCGUUUCCGAGCUGUGGCGGUUCUCCGGUUUAAUUAGCUCUUGCUUUCUCCGAGGGCAGCCUUUCUGGGACCGGAGUUAGGCGGAAAGAGGCCCAAAACCAAGAGGGCAGCGGGUCACGUGGCCACAGGUGUCCCGUGGAGUGGCCAUUUUGUGCAGUAGGAAACGGUUGCUUGAAUACAGUGUUCGGAAUGGGGGGCGGGGUAGGGGGAAGGGGCGGUUGGUGGCAAGGGUGGGGUCGGGGAGGUAAAGGGGAGUGAAGAAUGUGUUUCCCUUAAGACCAAGUAAGGACAGAAAGCUCGAACCUGUUGACCAGGGGGAGGGGGCCACUCCACAGUUGCCCAGACCCCGCUUGGAGACCAUGGAAAGGGCGCUGACAACCGGUGGUAGCACUGGUUCCACAGAGUAAACGACACACGGAAACCAAGAGAUGCUGCCUUGCAUCUCCUAGUGCCGGGUAUUCGGAACCCUUAACUCCUCAGAUCCAACCUGAGUGGGAUUCACCCCGGAUCCGCGACCUGACGUGGCCCUGCUCCUGCAGCCACAGCUCUGCAUCUCCCUGGUGUGCAGGUUGAGGGUUGCUGGAGGGGCUCCUGCUCUGCACAAACACCUUGGCCAUCCUGCUUAGUAUGGGGCAAGGAGAGAGGGCUUGUGUAUUUCGAAAUAACUCCACGAUGGGUGAUUUGGGCCAAAUAGUGUUUAAAGAUGUGGCUUUGACCGUGGGUUCCCUUGGAAGUCUAAGGGAUGGUGCGAAAUGUGUGCCACUCAUUUUUGUGCAAGAUAUUUGUAAUCUGGAAAGAUGACUUGGCACUUAAGAGCACUUGCUGCUCUUGCAGAGGAGGGGACUUGGUUUCCCAGCACCCACAUCUGAUGGCUCACAACUGUUAUUAACGUUAGUUCCAGGGGAAUUUGAUGCCCCCUUCUGGCACCCCAGCAGUCACACAUAAAACUGCAAGCACAUACAUAGACACAUAAAUUUUUAAAGUGGUUUAAUAACUGCAACAGAAAAGAUCAUUACUGGUUUAUUUCAUAAUAGAUGUUGUACAUCCUGCUUCUGCCAUAUAUAAAUGUUAAUUGAAAAUAGGGCUUCUCUCUCUCUCUCUCUCAGAAGCUUUAGAAUCUAGGCUAAAAUGACUGACCAAUAUGACCCUAUAUAUUGAAUAUGAUGUAUGGGGUACAGAAGAGAGUGGAUGAAGGAUGUUUGUUUUCAUGGGUUCUUCUAGGAUCUUUAACCCCACAGUGGACAGCUGAUAAACGAAGUCAGUAUACCCAGGAGAGCAGAGAUCAGAAACAUAGACAAAGAGGGGAUUCCUUGAUCCCAUUAAGUCUGAGGUCUGCCUAACCUUUGAAACUGAAUUAUAUGAACUGUUAGGUCCUUUGUAUCUUUAUGCCAUUUUAAAAUGGAUUUAUUUUUUCAUGACAGGGUUUCUCUGUGUCCUGGAACUCACUUUGUAGACCAGGCUGGCCUCGAACUCAGAAAUCCACCUGCCUCUGCCUCCUGAGUGCUGGGAUUAAAGGCGUGCGCCACCACACCUGGCUUUAAAAUGGAUUUUUAAAGUUACUGAGAACAUAGAGUCCCCAAAUGACACCAGUAUGGGCUACUAAACCAUAAUUAGUCAAAUCUUUUCACCAUAAGAAGUGCAGAAUAAAGGACCAAAGGGAAAAACACCCUGACCCUGACUUAACCUCAAGCUGGAGACCUGGGCCAAGAAACAGAAUCCCACCAAUCCUUGAGCUUACUCCAGAAACCCACCCAUCCCUAAGCGUGCGAGCGCUCUUAAAGUAAAGAAUUGAAAUCCUACCAAUCCUCACCUUGGAACCAUCCAUCUUGAAAGCUCCCCACUUCCCCCAAGAGAUGCCACUGCCCUUUCUGCUCAGGUCCCUGGUGCUGCUCUACCAAGCAGAGCUAUCCACCCUCCUGAGAUCCAGUUUUCCUUCCAAUAGAUCUGUGAGGUUUGUUCUGUGGUGUGACUGCAGUCUUCCUUGAUUCCUGAUUGCCAGGAUAUCUCUGGCAGCAGAGAUGUGAUGUAACACUUCUGCCACAGCCUAGUUUUGGUUGGGAGACCUGCUCCUGCCAGAGCAGAAAUGUUACACUUGCACUGGGGAAACCUUUCUGGGCAGCUGGAGCAGAGCUGUUACAAGAAUGGAAACAGUAUCAACUAGAACUCUGGAAGGCUGCUUAAAAGAACUUUGAAAAUUAGGGAAAGGCCAGAGAGGGUCUUUGGGGUAACUGGGUGAGUUGAGUAACUUUAUUCUGAAUGUCCUGGAGUCUUUACCAACAUUAGUGCUAUGAACCUUCACUACAAGAGCUUCCUUGAUAGCUUUUCUGAUAUUCCUAGGCUCAUGAUCAUGUCAUGGUCAGGGGGUUGGUUAAAUGUUUAGCCUUAUAUUGCUCCAACUCUAAGUUUUAAAAAUUCUUCCUUCAAAUAAAUUAUUGGUGUUGAAUUUCAGGUUGGUAGCUUUCCAGAAUAGCUCUCUUUCUCAGCAGUUCCAUGUUUUACUAUUCCCCUCCCUUUGACUAUAGAAGUGAUAGGGUGGAAUUUCUGUCAUUAGGUUGUAAAACAUCACAGAUCAUCUUGUUGGACUCCUGCACUAUAAAUAAGAAAAACUCAAGCUGUAAAAUAUAAUCUGAAAGGAAUCAUAAAAACAUGUCAUGUUCUGGAUUCUAAACCAUAAUAAGAUGUGAAUAAGACU
Molecule: long non-coding RNA, 3047 nt
Filed under: Mus caroli (Ryukyu mouse)
Lineage: Eukaryota; Metazoa; Chordata; Mammalia; Rodentia; Muridae
Description: predicted gene, 37912 (MGP_CAROLIEiJ_G0002467.1)
Source: RNAcentral